GACGAACCGAGCGAACGUUGUUCGGAAUCACUGGGCUUAAAGGGCGCGUAGGCGGGCUGUCAAGUCUGGGGUGAAAUCCCGCGGCUCAACCGGAGAACUGCCAUGGAUACUGGGUGUCUCGAGGGUGAUAGGGGUAUGCGGAACUAUCGGUGGAGCGGUGAAAUGCGUUGAUAUCGAUAGGAACACCGGAGGCGAAAGCGGUGUACUGGGGCUGGUCUGACGCUGAGGCACGAAAGCCAGGGGAGCGAACGGG
RNAcentral lists this ribosomal RNA (253 nucleotides) under uncultured bacterium. Its description in RNAcentral is "partial 16S ribosomal RNA". It matches the Rfam family "Bacterial small subunit ribosomal RNA", at positions 524 to 776 of the family's 1533-position model. The record is from RNAcentral.